GAUGAACGCUGGCGGCGUGCCUAAUACAUGCAAGUCGAACGAAACUUCUUUAUCACCGAGUGCUUGCACUCACCGAUAAAGAGUUGAGUGGCGAACGGGUGAGUAACACGUGGGCAACCUGCCCAAAAGAGGGGGAUAACACUUGGAAACAGGCGCUAAUACCGCAUAACCAUAGUUACCGCAUGGUAACUAUGUAAAAGGUGGCUAUACUACCGCUUUUGGCUGGGCCUGCGGCGCAUUAGCUAGUUGGUAGGGUAAAGGCUUACCAAGGCAAUGAUGCGUAACCGAAUUGAGAGGUUGAUCGGCCACAUUGGGACUGAGACACGGCCCAAACUCCUACGGGAGGCAGCAGUAGGGAAUCUUCCACAAUGGGCGAAAGCCUGAUGGAGCAACGCCGCGUGGGUGAAGAAGGUCUUCGGAUCGUAAAACCCUGUUGUUAGAGAAGAAAGUGCGUGAGAGUAACUGUUCACGUUUCGACGGUAUCUAACCAGAAGGCCACGGCUAACUACGUGC
RNAcentral lists this ribosomal RNA (513 nucleotides) under uncultured bacterium. RNAcentral's name for it is "partial 16S ribosomal RNA". It matches the Rfam family "Bacterial small subunit ribosomal RNA", at positions 28 to 508 of the family's 1533-position model. The record is from RNAcentral.